This 451-nucleotide long non-coding RNA is filed under the name Rattus norvegicus (Norway rat). RNAcentral describes it as "long non-coding RNA NONRATT028678". Lineage: Eukaryota; Metazoa; Chordata; Mammalia; Rodentia; Muridae. The record is from RNAcentral.
GCCCGGCCCAGGAGCCCGGUUACUUACGUUGCACCAGCCGGUCCCCGGUGAAGGUGGCGGAGCAGCUGGUGACCAGCGCACAAGGAACACCGGCAGCCAUCGCUGCAGCAGAGCGGGUUCCGCGCCGGCGCCGCUUCCGCCUUGGGCCGCACCACUGAGGCCGGCGCGCGGGGGAGACGCUCCGGGCACGCGCUCUGGGCGGGGCCGCGCGCUGGGUAGCGGAGGCGCGAGCUGGCCCUCAGCUCCCCCUUCCGCUCCUCCUGUGGAGCACGCCGGUUCCGCGCGCCGCGUUGCUAUAGUGACUGGUGCCUGCUUCUAGAAGCGCUCCGGAGAAGGCCAUACCUCCGGAGCCAAGCGCCUUCUGCCUGCCUCAGUCAUGGCUCAGGCCCAGGAGCUCAACGACCCCAUUGGAUCCAUCCUAAUCCAGGUGGGAAAGAGGCCGGGCUGGCGG